This 725-nucleotide ribosomal RNA is filed under the name uncultured bacterium. RNAcentral's name for it is "bacterial SSU rRNA". It matches the Rfam family "Bacterial small subunit ribosomal RNA", at positions 57 to 776 of the family's 1533-position model. The record is from RNAcentral.
GCAAGUCGAGCGGAGUGAUGGUGCUUGCACUAUCACUUAGCGGCGGACGGCUUAGUAAUGCUUAGGAAUCUGCCUAUUAGUGGGGGACAACAUUUCGAAAGGAAUGCUAAUACCGCAUACGUCCUACGGGAGAAAGCAGGGGAUCUUCGGACCUUGCGCUAAUAGAUGAGCCUAAGUCGGAUUAGCUAGUUGGUGGGGUAAAGGCCUACCAAGGCGACGAUCUGUAGCGGGUCUGAGAGGAUGAUCCGCCACACUGGGACUGAGACACGGCCCAGACUCCUACGGGAGGCAGCAGUGGGGAAUAUUGGACAAUGGGCGCAAGCCUGAUCCAGCCAUGCCGCGUGUGUGAAGAAGGCCUUAUGGUUGUAAAGCACUUUAAGCGAGGAGGAGGCUACUGAAGUUAAUACCUUCAGAUAGUGGACGUUACUCGCAGAAUAAGCACCGGCUAACUCUGUGCCAGCAGCCGCGGUAAUACAGAGGGUGCAAGCGUUAAUCGGAUUUACUGGGCGUAAAGCGCGCGUAGGCGGCUAAUUAAGUCAAAUGUGAAAUCCCCGAGCUUAACUUGGGAAUUGCAUUCGAUACUGGUUAGCUAGAGUGUGGGAGAGGAUGGUAGAAUUCCAGGUGUAGCGGUGAAAUGCGUAGAGAUCUGGAGGAAUACCGAUGGCGAAGGCAGCCAUCUGGCCUAACACUGACGCUGAGGUGCGAAAGCAUGGGGAGCAAACAGG